Small nuclear RNA from Sorex fumeus (smoky shrew), 102 nucleotides. Lineage: Eukaryota; Metazoa; Chordata; Mammalia; Eulipotyphla; Soricidae. The record is from RefSeq and is a predicted model, not a curated record.
CUGAUAGCUUCGGCAGCACAUCUGCUGAAACUGGAACAAUGCAGAGAAGGUUAGCAUGGCCCCUGAACGAAGAUAACAUGCAAAUCCAUAUUUCCUAUUUAU